GCUGAUCCAGCCAUGCCGCGUGCAGGAAGACUGCCCUAUGGGUUGUAAACUGCUUUUAUACGGGAAGAAACCCUCCUACGUGUAGGGGGCUGACGGUACCGUAAGAAUAAGCAUCGGCUAACUCCGUGCCAGCAGCCGCGGUAAUACGGAGGAUGCAAGCGUUAUCCGGAAUCAUUGGGUUUAAAGGGUCCGUAGGUGGACUAGUAAGUCAGAGGUGAAAGCCUGCAGCUCAACUGUAGAACUGCCUUUGAUACUGGUGGUCUUGAAUUAUUGUGAAGUGGUUAGAAUAUGUAGUGUAGCGGUGAAAUGCAUAGAUAUUACAUAGAAUACCGAUUGCGAAGGCAGA
This 346-nucleotide ribosomal RNA is filed under the name uncultured Winogradskyella sp. RNAcentral describes it as "bacterial SSU rRNA". It matches the Rfam family "Bacterial small subunit ribosomal RNA", at positions 382 to 725 of the family's 1533-position model. Lineage: Bacteria; Pseudomonadati; Bacteroidota; Flavobacteriia; Flavobacteriales; Flavobacteriaceae. The record is from RNAcentral.